This 3954-nucleotide long non-coding RNA is filed under the name Panax ginseng (ginseng). Its description in RNAcentral is "long non-coding RNA (PGIN_LNC000153)". The record is from RNAcentral. Lineage: Eukaryota; Viridiplantae; Streptophyta; Magnoliopsida; Apiales; Araliaceae.
UCCUCAAUGUCCACUCCUUUAAGUUCAUCCAGUGGCAUGUGCACUUCUGGCUCUCCAUCGAUUUCAUCAUCCAUGUCAUAGCACCAAUUGUUUUGAGGGUGAUUGUUCAAUGCUUCGAACAAUUGAUCCAUCUGAUUCUGCAGCUUUUGAAUUGACCUUUCUUGCUUAAUCAUCUUCUCCUCAGUUGAUGCUACAAACGUUAACCACAAUUCCUUCAACUCUGAAUUGUCUUCUUGUUGCAUUGGAGGUGGAUUUGAGAAAUUCGAUGGAUAUGUUGGGCUUGGAACACAGUCUUGGUCUUGAUAGUUACAAUUCCAUUCAUAAUCUGGGUGAUACCCCCAACCUUGAUGAUAAUUAGGAUAAACAUUGUUGUUGAGGUAAUCACCCCCAAACUAUACUUGUCCAACUCUGAUGUCGCACUGAUAACUCGGAUGCUCGCCAGCACAAUAUUCACAUAUAACUGUUAUCUCUCGAGUGCGUUGGGCUGCAAGAACAUCCAACCUCUCCGAAAGUUCUGCAAUCUGUGCUGACAAUGUAGAAAAUACAUUGAGUCCUUCAGUUCUUGUGUCCCUUGGUUGAAUCCUAUUUGUAUAAAGCCAUUGAUAAGCAAAGUCAUCCAUGGUACCCUCUAACUGUGCUUGUAAAUUUAUGCGCACUCUCGCUUUCCAACCUCUUUCGUUAAUAUUAUCCUGUGCUGGUAUCAAUUCUGAGUUGGACGAUCGUGUGUGCAUAAAAAUUAUACAAGUACCUGAAACCAAAACAAAAACAAAAAUAGAAAUGAGAAAAGAUUAGAAUUGUCUAAGUCAUACAAUAUAGCUUUAAACUAAUGAUAAUUAUAUAAAUUAACGCCUUUCCCCGACAACGGCGCCAAAAACUUGUUCCCUCUUUUAUAGUUCUAAUAAAAGAGCUCUAACUCAUGCAACCAUACAUGUGUAAACAAGUAAUACAGAAUAAGUAAAUUAUCGAUCCCACAGAGAAAGUUGUUAACCUUAGACUACUAAGCAUUAAUUAACUCACUAUAUUUAUAUGCUAAGACUAUUGACUUAAUUGUUGAUUUGAACUAAUUAUGAUUACCAAAUAAAAAUAAGAAUAUAAAUGGACUAAAUAUAAUAUGCAAACAAUGAGAUCCUAACUUCAUUCAAUAUUUCGUUUAAUCGCCAUAUGUCAUGCAAGAAGUGUUCACAUAUCAUAGGAAGAUAGCCAAGAGCACGAAGAGAGUUAUAACCAUUUUCCAAUGCACUAUAACAAACUCACAUAGCAUCUACAGAUGUUAGACUCUAUGUAAUCACCAAUACCAUCACAAUUACCAUAUUCCUAUGCGCAACUGCAAUCCUAUUGAUUUUAAGCACAACCCUUAUUCUAGCUCAUACGGUGAAACAGUAUAUGCCUAUCUGAUUCACAAAAUAUGCAAGACUUACUCUAGCCCCAUAUUCGCAUGCUAUCAUGAUUACAAUCCAUAUUUAUAUGUUCAUUUCUAAUCCCAUACAAAUACUGAAACGAAUGAUGAUCAAUCAUUCAUACAUGUAAAACAACCAUGAUAGAUAUCCCAUAUGAUAUACAAAACAAAUCUAACAUUUAGAUGUACAACUAAACUACAUAUUAAAAUCCGUUAGAAUCCCAUAAUGGAGUUUAGUUCAUGACUGAACCAAAAGCCAUUAUGGGAUCAAGGCUAAACAUGAUCAAUAAACAAACGAAUGAAAGUAAGAAAGAGAGAACGAUCAAACCCAAUCGCUGAAUAGUAACCAAUGAUUAACAAGUAAAUCCUCAAAGAAAUCCAAUACGCAAUUAUCAAAAUCCACGAUGAUAGAGAAUUCCAAGGAGAAGAAGAGAAAAUAGACGUUAUGGCUUCGUUCUCCGUUGGAAUCUCUCCCAAGGUGUAAACCCUAGUUUCUAAUCAACUCUAGAAAAUACCUACACUAAUCUACUCUAUUCUAUUAUUGAAACUAAAGAGAGAAGAUAAUAGUAGCUUCAGCCCCCAAGGGGUGGAAUAUGUCUUACAUGAUGAGAAUAUGUUUAAUAUAUAAGCCCUAAUUGAAUCCCCCACUCAAUCACGCUUCAAUUGUACUGUUUAGUGAAAAGUCAGCUAUGGUCAUCGCCCGAAGUCGCGCGGCCGCGCAGAAGUUGGCCUGAAGGGUCACGUGGGUGCGCAACUUGCAGAAAAUCGCGUUUUUACUCCAGGGUCGCGCGCGGCCGCGCACAAAUUCGAGCGCCAGUACGGUCCAUUUUUCUGCUGCAGUGUCCUCUGGUAAAAUAGCCAUAACUUUUGAUCCGGGAAGAGUUACAGGUCAUGCCACCUAUCAAAUUGAAGAUAUCAAUGAGCCCUACAACUUUCAUUCUUUGAUGAUUGAGAAAUUCUGGCCGGCUAAAGGUUGAAAUUGGGCUGGAAGGGACUACUAUGAAAAUGGCGAACCAAAACAGCGAAGUUUGACGUCCGUUGGUACAACGAUCAUAACUCUUGCAUCCGAACUCCGAUUAGAGUGAUUCAAGAUGUUCCGGAAAGCUAUAAAGACGCUCUACACUGUAAGCUAAGUUCCAAACCAACACAUGAAGUAAACACGAAAGUCCAAAUGAUGUCCGGAUUGCCUUUUCUUUGCAUUCUCUUUGCUUUUCAUUACCAAUAAUCACUCACACCGCUCCCAAACAUAAUACCUUCAAAAUAAACACAAAAUGCAUGAAAAGUAACUAAGACACAUGAAUAUAAGCAACUAAUUCAAGUAAAAGAUACCGGAUAAGUGUAUAAAAAAUCCACUUAUCACUCACCUCCCUAAACUCAUAUAAACAAUGUUUGCAAGUAAAAGCACUUAACUGCACAAAAUUUGAUCCUCAGACAUUAUGCAAAUUUAAGUAAUUAGCAGUGCAUUAAUGUUGAACUUUAAGUUUUUUAGUAGUGAGCCUUCAAAUAUGGCAAGUAUGAUAUCCAGGACAUUAAUCUUGCCAAGCAAUAAAUGACAAACUUAAACAAGCUUAUAAAGCAAGAAAAAUAAAUAAUCUCAGAAGGAACAGAGAAAAUUUUAAACCCGCCUGAUGUUUCUUAAUUUUUUUUAGUUUCAAAUUUGACUCACUCACAUUAUCAUUACAUUAGUUAUUCAAGGCGCACCCAAUAGUUGCAAGUUAAUACGAACUAAUAUAAUGAUGAAAGAUAGAAAAUGAGACCCAAAGGCAAAAGGCUUGAUGAAUGGACAUAACAACUAAAACAAGGGUACAGGAGAAAACGAUAAUCACUUUAAUAGCACAAUCUUCAUUCAGUUCAAGCUCAAAUUGUUCCCCUAAAAACUAGCAGGACAAAUUUGAGUACAUAGUAUGUUUAUAGUAAUGUAAUGGUUUGGAGUUGUGUAUAGAAACUAGCCCUGCCCUUCCAAUUUACAAAAUAAAUUAUUUAAUCCUCUUGUUAUGGCUGUCAGUGUUCACAAAGUCCUACACUACAGCUCAUGUUAGUUUUAACACCCUAUGCUUUACACUCUACAGGUAUAAAAAUAAAUAAUCCCCCCCAAAAAAAUGUAUAAGUAACCAUCAAAAGAACCGAUUUUACCUCAAAGAGGUUCUAAUUUUACUCUAAAACAAUGGAAAUUGGACCGCUAGAGAUGCUGCCAUCGAAGUCAGACCAAAAUAAAAACCUAAAAAUACAAUUGUAACAGAGGAAAAUAGUUAAACCCUUACCGAAUCGAAGUCAAAAUCAAGGUUUUGGUCUGAGUCGAAGUCGAUUUGAAUUGAAAUAGGAGAUGCCAAGUGUCGAUUUGUUCAACCUAGAUGCUGAAUUAUGAAAUAGGUGAAUCGUGAUUUGGACUGAAAUAGGUGAAUUGUGAUUUGUAAUGAAAUAAGUGAAAUAGAUGUCGAUUUGGACUAAAAUGGGUGAAUUGUGAUUUGGGGGUUUUUUUUUUUUAUCGAUUUUGGGUUUUGUAGAGAGAAAUUUCAGGAUUUCUUGGAGCUUAUUUUGUUUUAAAGAGAGAAAAUGCG